CGAUGAUGGUGAAGGCAAUUUCUUAGUAUCCCCUUAAAUCUUUCCCAAGCUUGGUAGUGAUUUUCUCCUUUUUUCUUCCUGAAACUCAGAAUCUCACUUCUCAAAUG
This is a non-coding RNA of Capsicum annuum, 107 nucleotides long. The record is from Rfam. Lineage: Eukaryota; Viridiplantae; Streptophyta; Magnoliopsida; Solanales; Solanaceae.